This 381-nucleotide ribosomal RNA is filed under the name uncultured eukaryote. RNAcentral describes it as "partial 18S ribosomal RNA". It matches the Rfam family "Eukaryotic small subunit ribosomal RNA", at positions 592 to 976 of the family's 1831-position model. The record is from RNAcentral.
CAAUAGCGUAUAUUGAAGUUGUUGCGGUAAAAAAGCUCGUAGUUGGAUUUCUACCGAAGAUAGCCGGUCGGGUCUUCGACCUUGUAUCUGGUUUUGUCUUUGGUAUCCUCAUAGGGAACGUUUCUGCGCUUUAUUGCGUGGUGCGGUAUCUAUGACUUUUACUUUGAGGAAAUUAGAGUGUUCACGGCAGGCAGACGCCUUGAAUAUAUUGGCAUGGAAUAAUAACAUAGGAUCUUCGUCCUAUUUUGUUGGUUUCUAGGGCUAAGAUAAUGAUUAAUAGGGAUAAUUGGGGGCAUCUGUAUCAACGCGUCAGAGGUGGAAUUCUUGGAUUGCGUUGCGACAAACUACUGCGAAAGCAUUUGCCAAGGAUGUUUUCAUUGA